RNAcentral lists this unclassified non-coding RNA (384 nucleotides) under soil metagenome. Its description in RNAcentral is "partial contains 5.8S ribosomal RNA, internal transcribed spacer 2, and large subunit ribosomal RNA". The stretch from base 1 to 120 matches the Rfam family "5.8S ribosomal RNA", at positions 35 to 154 of the family's 154-position model. The record is from RNAcentral.
GAUGAAGAACGCAGCGAAAUGCGAUAAGUAAUGUGAAUUGCAGAAUUCAGUGAAUCAUCGAAUCUUUGAACGCACCUUGCACCCUUUGGCAUUCCGAAGGGUAUGCUCGUUUGAGUGUCAUUGUACUCUCACUCUCCCGAUGCUUUUGGAUCGGGAGUGGUGGACUUGGGUGUUGCUGCUUUGCUGUGGCUCGCCUCAAAUGGAGUAGUGCAACUCUUGGUUGGACAUAGUACGGCGUGAUAAGUGUCUUCGCCGGCGCCUCAUUAUAGAGGGUGGCCGAUCGGGAGCUCUGUGCUUCAAACCGUCUUCGGACAACAUCUGACAACUUGACCUCAAAUCGAGUAGGACUACCCGCUGAACUUAAGCAUAUCAAUAAGCGGAAGA